This 254-nucleotide ribosomal RNA is filed under the name uncultured bacterium. RNAcentral's name for it is "partial 16S ribosomal RNA". It matches the Rfam family "Bacterial small subunit ribosomal RNA", at positions 524 to 776 of the family's 1533-position model. The record is from RNAcentral.
UACGUAGGGACCAAGCGUUGUUCGGAUUUACUGGGCGUAAAGGGCGCGUAGGCGGUCAGCACAAGUCAGUUGUGAAAUCUCCGGGCUUAACUCGGAAAGGUCAACUGAUACUGUGCGACUAGAGUGCAGAAGGGGCAACUGGAAUUCUCGGUGUAGCGGUGAAAUGCGUAGAUAUCGAGAGGAACACCUGCGGCGAAGGCGGGUUGCUGGGCUGACACUGACGCUGAGGCGCGAAAGCGUGGGGAGCAAACAGG